RNAcentral lists this ribosomal RNA (613 nucleotides) under uncultured bacterium. RNAcentral describes it as "bacterial SSU rRNA". It matches the Rfam family "Bacterial small subunit ribosomal RNA", at positions 62 to 674 of the family's 1533-position model. The record is from RNAcentral.
CCGAACGAAGGAUUGUGAAGGAACUUUACGGAGGGAAAACACAAUGACUCAUUGGCGGACGGGUGAGUAACGCGUAGGGAACCUGGCCCUUACAGGGGGAUAACAGAUGGAAACAACUGCUAAUACCGCAUAAGCGCCCAGCCUCGCAUGAGGCAGAGUGAAAAACUAAGGUGGUAAGGGAUGGCCCUGCGUCCGAUUAGCUAGUUGGUAUGGUAACGGCAUACCAAGGCGACGAUCGGUAGCCGGCCUGAGAGGGUGGACGGCCACAUUGGGACUGAGACACGGCCCAAACUCCUACGGGAGGCAGCAGUGGGGGAUAUUGCACAAUGGGGGAAACCCUGAUGCAGCGACACCGCGUGGGUGAAGAAGCGCUUCGGCGUGUAAAGCCCUAUCAGUGGGGAAGAAAAAGGACGGUACCCAAAGAAGAAGCACCGGCUAAAUACGUGCCAGCAGCCGCGGUAAUACGUAUGGUGCAAGCGUUAUCCGGAAUGACUGGGUGUAAAGGGAGCGUAGACGGUUGUACAAGUCUGAUGUGAAAGCCCACGGCUCAACUGUGGGAGUGCAUUGGAAACUGUAGAACUAGAGUAUCGGAGAGGCAAGUGGAAUUCCUAGU